AUUCCAGCUCCAAUAGCAUAUAUUAAAGUUGUUGCAGUUAAAAAGCUCGUAGUUGGAUUUCUGGCAUGAUGCGCCUGGCCCGCCGUGAUUACGCGUGUGUGUGCUAGUGCGCGUCUGCCAUCCAUUGGCAGAAUAUGUCUACCCUUAAUUGGGCCGGAUAUGUGAUGUCAAUCUUUUACUUUGAAAAAAUUAGAGUGUUUAAAGCAGGCAUUUGCUAUGAAUACAUUAGCAUGGAAUAAUAAUCUAGGACUUCGGUUCUAUUUUGUUGGUUUCUAGAUCUGGAGAAAUGAUUGAUAGGGAUAGUUGGGGGUGCAAGUAUUAAGGGGCCAGAGGUGAAAUUCUUGGAUUCUCUUAAGACUAACUUAUGCGAAAGCAUUCACCAAGGAUGUCUUCAUCA
RNAcentral lists this ribosomal RNA (397 nucleotides) under Mataza sp. Its description in RNAcentral is "partial small subunit ribosomal RNA". It matches the Rfam family "Eukaryotic small subunit ribosomal RNA", at positions 582 to 975 of the family's 1831-position model. The record is from RNAcentral. Lineage: Eukaryota; Cercozoa; Thecofilosea.